Molecule: ribosomal RNA, 253 nt
Filed under: uncultured bacterium
Lineage: Bacteria
Description: partial 16S ribosomal RNA
Rfam family: Bacterial small subunit ribosomal RNA
Source: RNAcentral
UACGGGGGGGGCAAGCGUUGUUCGGAAUUACUGGGCGUAAAGGGCGCGUAGGCGGCCUGCUAAGUCGGACGUGAAAUCCCUCGGCUCAACCGAGGAACUGCGUCCGAUACUGGUGGGCUUGAAUCCGGGAGAGGGAUGUGGAAUUCCAGGUGUAGCGGUGAAAUGCGUAGAGAUCAGCAGGAACACCCGUGGCGAAGGCGGCCCCCUGGGCCGUACCUGACGCUGAGGCGCGAAGGCUAGGGGAGCGAACGGG